Long non-coding RNA from Macrosteles quadrilineatus (aster leafhopper), 627 nucleotides. RefSeq lists it as uncharacterized. The transcript is spliced from 3 exons. NCBI's taxonomy places the organism in Eukaryota, Metazoa, Arthropoda, Insecta, Hemiptera, Cicadellidae. The record is from RefSeq and is a predicted model, not a curated record.
UUGUAAUUGGACCGUACUGACAACUGCCCAACUGCGAUAUCGUAAUUUAUAACCUAAACAUUUAUUUAUUUAAAUGUUUUUAAACGAUUUUUAUACGAGAAAUGGCAACAAUUACAUGCUAUAUGACAAUGAAAAUGCAAGAAAUAUUUAUAGAGAGAAGUUAAAAGAUAUGAAAAUGAAGUGAAGGAUAACGGCUAACGGCAUUGAAAAUUAAUGAAUCUUAUCAAUAGUCCGGCUGGUGUUGACAGAAGAUAAAGAAGAGGAACAAUAAUUAUUAAUAAAUUGUAGCAUCAAAAAAUUCCAAAACUAUUGAGGUGUUGAAAUCCAGUAAAUUUUCUUGUAAAGCUUGGAGAAUUGCAAAUGUUUGGUGUUAAUGUAUGAGAGUACUUCAUAUGUAAACAAUAUUGAUGAAGUUGUCUGCUUAUUUGGGGCCAAAUAAGAAGGAGAGAAAUUUUCUUGGAAAAGAAUCGAAAGCAAUAAAGAUAAGAUAUCAUGACAGAAGAAUGCAGAAGGGUUGCUCAGCUCUUAACUUCGCCUUAUAAUCUUUAUUUAUUUCAAUUGUGUUGUAAGAAGUAUUUUUUAAACAGUAAAACUUUCUCCAAUUUAUAGACUACCUAUUAUGAUUCA